This 896-nucleotide ribosomal RNA is filed under the name Thanatephorus cucumeris. RNAcentral describes it as "eukaryotic LSU rRNA". It matches the Rfam family "Eukaryotic large subunit ribosomal RNA", at positions 37 to 943 of the family's 3401-position model. Lineage: Eukaryota; Fungi; Basidiomycota; Agaricomycetes; Cantharellales; Ceratobasidiaceae. The record is from RNAcentral.
AGCAUAUCAAUAAGCGGAGGAAAAGAACUAACAAGGAUUCCCCUAGUAACGGCGAGUGAAGCGGGAAGAGCUCAAAUUUAAAAUCUGGNNGUGUAUUCUGUCCGAGUGGUAGUCUAGAGAAGCAUCAUCCGUGCUGGACCAUGUACAAGUCUCUUGGAACAAAGCGUCAUAGAGGGUGAGAAUCCCGUCCUUGACAUGGACUCCCAGUACUUUGUGUUGUGCUCUCAACGAGUCGAGUUGUUUGGGAAUGCAGCUCAAAAUGGGUGGUAAAUUCCAUCUAAAGCUAAAUAUUGGCGAGAGACCGAUAGCGAACAAGUACCGUGAGGGAAAGAUGAAAAGCACUUUGGAGAGAGAGUUAAACAGUACGUGAAAUUGUUGAAAUGGAAACGCUUGAAGUCAGUCGCGUUCUCUGGGAUUCAGCCUGGCUUUUGCUUGGUGCAUUUCCCGGUCUACGGGCCANCAUGAAUUUUGACCAAUGGAAAAAGGCUUGGGGAAUGUGGCACCUUCGGGUGUGUUAUAGCCCNUUGUCACAUACAUUGGUUGGGAUUGAGGUCUUAGUGCACGCUUCGGUUGUGCUUUGAUGCUGGCGUAAUGGCUUUAAACGACCCGUCUUGAAACACGGACCAAGGAGUCUAACAUGUCUGCGAGUGUUUGGGUGCAAAACCCGAGCGCGAAAUGAAAGUGAUAGUUGGGAACCUCUUCAGAGGGGCACCGACGCCCGGACCAGACCUUCUGUGACGGAUCCGAGGUANAGCAUAUAUGUUGGGACCCGAAAGAUGGUGAACUAUGCCUGCAUAGGGUGAACCAGAAGAAACUCUGGUGGAAGCUCGUAGCGAUUCUGACGUGCAAAUCGAUCGUCAAAUNUNGGUAUNGGGGCGAAAGACUAAUCNAACCAU